CUAUGCGCCUUGCCAGCCCGCUCAGUCAGAGUUUGAUCCUGGCUCAGAACGAACGCUGGCGGCGCGCUUAACACAUGCAAGUCGCACGCCCUUUCGGGGGGAGUGGCGCACGGGUGAGUAACGCGUGGGAACCUGCCCUGGGGUUCGGGACAACCGCGGGAAACUGCGGCUAAUACCGGAUACGACCAUUGGUGAAAGAAGCAAUUCGCCCUGGGAUGGGCCCGCGUCCGAUUAGCUUGUUGGUGGGGUAACGGCCUACCAAGCUUCGAUCGGUAGCCGGUCUGAGAGGAUGAUCGGCCACACUGGGACUGAGACACGGCCCAG
Molecule: ribosomal RNA, 324 nt
Filed under: uncultured bacterium
Lineage: Bacteria
Description: partial 16S ribosomal RNA
Rfam family: Bacterial small subunit ribosomal RNA
Source: RNAcentral